Molecule: long non-coding RNA, 10726 nt
Filed under: Nicotiana tabacum (common tobacco)
Lineage: Eukaryota; Viridiplantae; Streptophyta; Magnoliopsida; Solanales; Solanaceae
Description: long non-coding RNA (NTAB_LNC017977)
Source: RNAcentral
ACAUAACGUAUCUUUUCAUGUCAUACUAUCAUAGAUAACUGAUCCGGAAGAUUGUUGUGAGAUAAGUAGAAUACAACAUGUCAUAAAAACUUAUACAUAAGAUAUACGGGCCUAUAAGGCAAAAAUUAACCACUCGUACACUGAACAUAGGCCGACAAGGUCAUACUAUCUUUUACGUACAUGGCAUCUGUCUACAAGCCUCUAAGAAUACAUAAUUUUCAUAAAGUUCAGGACAGAGUCUCACCAUGCCAAAAAAUACACAUCUAAAUCAUACUAACCAAACAAGCAACUCCGAAACAAAUGGAGCGCACCAACAUCUUCCGCUGAGCUGAUAGCCUACUUGGAGGGCUUUCAACCUGUCUAUAAAAACCUACAUGCAUGAAACAUAGCGUCCCUAGGCAAAAGUGAUAUCAGUACAAAUAAUGUACCAAGUAUGUAAGGAACAUAAAUAAGUACAUAAAAGACAUGGAAGAAAUAUAGAGUACAUGACUCAACCUGUAAGUCUAGACAACUCUGUAAAUCAUGAAAUACUUAUAGUGUCAUGCAUAUGCAUAUGAAUGUCAUGUCGUGCAUAGGUACAUGUGUUCAUAACAUCAUCAAGCCUCUAAGGGCAUCCCAUCAUAUCAUCUCAGCCACUGUGGGCAAAAUCAUCAACGUAUACCACCUGAUCAGGUGGUGGUACAUUAAUAACGCUGUAACCUUUCCCGUAUCCCAUAUACAUAUAUAUACAUGUAUAUAAUGCUAUCUGGUCAUGGGUCAAUGUGCAUGUAUAAAUGCAUGAAAUGCAUAUGAAAUACGUUAAUAAAAUCUUCUCAAAAUGCCAUAAAAAUCAAUAUACAUUUCAGAUAAACUAUUUACCGUGAAAAUGGUAAUAACAAUUAAAUUUCUUGAUGGGACUCUAAAAAUACGUGAUCUAUUUUUAUGCUAGUUUGUUAGGUAGUUGCUGCUAAGCAUGCAAGAUUUAAAAAUGACAUAGAGUUAAGGAUAACGCUAUAACCAAGCUGGUAGGACACCUAUUCGGGGCCUCGAGCUUGCCGAUUUGGAGCCUCGAGGUUGAUCCCGGGCUCGGCUACGAGCUAUCAAGGGUAAUUUCUAUGUGACUAAAAAUUAUAAUAAGAUUGUCUGAGGCUCUUUAUAGUCAAUGAUAAGCAAUAAAUGAUGAAUAAAUGUGGAGAUAAUAAAUGGGAGCAAUAAUAUCAAGAGAGUAUGUUAGAAAGCAAAAAGUGUGUUCUUCUAUAUUUUAGUGUGCAAUAACUGAAGUGACCCACCCUUACAAAGUGAUAAGGAUCCCCUUUAUAUAGGAGGGAAAUCCCAUAAAAGUACAACAAGCAUUAAUUACAAAGAUAUAGAGAUAUGACUACUAGAUGACACCCGGACUCGGGUCUUAGAGUAGCUCCCUAGGCUCUGUCAGUCCUAGCCAUGUGCCUUGGGAACUCCCCGUUUCCGCCGUGGUUGUGGUUGGAAUUAUCACAAGAUCGAGUGUCGAUGAACCUCUAGGGAGGAAUCUCGAUCGUGGCCUUGUAGCCCCAGGACUUCGAGAUGGUCUUCCGAGGUGCUUUGAUAAUGAGAAAUUGGACCCUCCGAUUUCACCGUAUACAGAUAGUCCCCGCAUUUCUUAGAGAGGAGUGAUAAGAAACGGUUUUGACACCUAACUCUUCGGACUUCCCGCAGUGAUGUCAUGCCGAUGAUAUCAUACUUAUGAUGUAAGUCUCCACGAUAACUGAUACAUCCCAUGGACUUGUCUUUUCAGCGUCAUUCAAUGUGCUGCUGAUUCCCAUUCUUCAAGGCGACCGUAUUGCCGUCGAUCCAGUUUCCAAUGGCGCAUUGAUUGUGCCUGUCGAUACGUCUUCUUAAGGCAUUGUAGGCCACACUAUCAUCCCCUAUAAAUGGGGCCUUUCCAUGCUAACUUUUUAUUCAAGUGUUUCUCAACAUCUUUUCAUUCCUUUCUUCUCAUCCUCAUUAUCCUUCUUUUAUUUCUACCCGCCAUGUCUGGGGGUUUUGACCUUAAGAUAUUACAGCGGCGUUCUUACCAGCUGCACCAUGGCCCUUUACCUGGGCUUUGCUGUGCCGAGCGAGAUUACACUAUCUCAUUGUUGUUGUUGUUGUUGUUACAGCUAUCACUGUUGUUGUCAUUAGACCAAGGUGACGAGAUGAAGGGGGUCGGACUAUUCCGACUUGGGGGAAUAUUUGGAAUCUACACCGCUGCUCGGGAGAGUGUUCGGACUACACACCGCUGCUCACUCUCCUACCCUUGCCUGCUGCUGCACUUCAUCCCUCGGGUCUUUUCUCAAGGGAUAAAUGGUGCACUGACCGUUAAGAUCACACGACACGAUGUCCCGGAAGGUGGACCCAGAGCGUCCAUGCGAGUAGGGUUGAGGCCCACUGAAUCUUCAACCUUUGGCUUCGGCGGUCUAUAUCUCUUUUCUCUGCCUCUUCUGCAUCACCUUCCUCUUCUUUGCCUUCACACUUUCCUCUUCUUCAUCUUUGCCCUUGGAGAUAUUGCUCCGUGGGAUUGAGCUGGGAACCUAGAGGAGAUGGCGGUCGAAGGUAUCACCAUCAAGGAUGCAUGCUCGAGGGGGCAGAGCUCGGAGAUGCUGAUAUCAGAGAUGAAUCUUCGAGAGUAGAUUAGGUCCCAGGCUUUCACUACGUGUGUACCCUCUCGCUUCUUUGUUUCUGUGUAAGAAACCCUCGUGGGCUUUUGUAAUCAUAUGUAAGGAACCUUCGUGGGCUUUUGCAAUUGAAUGUUUCAUGAAAACAAAGAUAUUUUCUCCAAUUUGUCUUCGAUGCUUGCUAUAUUCUUUUAUGUUUGUGGAGACUCUGAAUGCAUGGCUCCGUCUGCUAUUGCCAAAUACCAAACCCGAGUGCGAGUAUUCUUUCUGGCCUUUGGCUGAUUAAUAUGGCCUUGCGUAGAACCCUUUGCGAUCCCUUAGAUCGAACCUAAAUCGGGCCGAUGGACUCGGUUCGCCAGGACCUUGACUUCGAGUAGAAUGAAAGUAACAUUUUGGGCCUUGGAAUCAUGGUUUAUUAGUUAAACACUGUGGUAACCUUUGAGAAGAAAUUUGCUCGAAGGCCCGGAGAUAGGAACUGCCUUUGAUCUCUCGAGGGAAGUCCCCGAGAGGAGGUUCGUUCAAAUUCAAACCACCUGGAAACUUGCUCUAGGCUCAGCGUAAAUAGUCUUAGGGCGCCAUAGAUAUAUUUUGAAAGAGGGUUUGUACGAUCUCAGACGGUACCCCGGGGCCAAGCCUAUGCGGGUGGGGUUUAAAUGCUUAUUUCCUUGGAGCCUAAAACCCCCGAGGUUGGGUACCACCUCGGGUCUUGUAAUGAUGUCACUGGCUUUCUAGAGACUAACCUUGUUCUGACGAAGGUCCUGAAGGUCGGGUACCACCUCGGGACUGGAGAAGAUGUUAUUGGCUUCUUGGAUACUAACCUUGUUCUGGUGGGGGUCCUCGAGGUCGGGUACUACCUCGGAACUGGAGAAGGUGUUAUUGGUUUAUUGGAGCCUAACCUUAUUCUAAUAAAGGUCCUCGAGGUCGGGUACCACCUCGGGACUAGAUAAGGUGUUAUUGGCUCCUUAAAGCCUAACUUUUGUUGGAUGGAGAUCCUCGAGGUUGGGUAUCGCCCCGAGACUGGCGAUGUUGUUUUUAGCUGGUUUUGAGGCAAACGAACCAUCGUCAUUUCUUACAUAUAUAUUCAUGGACAUUUUUGGCUCUUUAGGGGAUCCCACCACUUUAAGCAGUUUCCCUUCUUUUUCUGCGCUAGCCUUUCGUCACUCCAGCAUUAAUGCACUUGCACAUAUUCCCACUUUAGUUUUCUAAUUUCGUCAUAGUCGUAGCUGCCAUGUCGGGAUCUGUUCGACAGGGAGGGGAGAGCUUUUCCUCCGGCAUUCAGGACCAACGAGAGUAUGCCUUGAAGUUGCUUUUUUGAUAGGAGAAGAACAUCUUAGGUUGGUGAAAAAAAACUGCGGAUGGGGGGAAAAAGUAGUACCGCAGAUACUUCCCCCGAGUGAGGGCAUCACGUAUCAUGUCGAUUGAUUCUUGAAUGUGUACACAUACCCUUUCACAUUAGGCCCCCUUGAUAGGGUUGUGCUCGAUUUCUUCCUCGAGUAUCGAGUUACCUUGGCGGAGAUCCAUCCGUCAUUUUGGCGAACAGUGCUGAUGAUGAGAUUUUUUGCGGAGAAGGCAGGGCUUGACUUUACUCUUAGUCAUCUUAUCAAGUUGUACUGGCCCUUCCACCAUCGAGGUUUAUUGACCUUGCGAUGCCGAUCGACUACGCCCUUCAUUGUUGAUGACGAGAAAGAUGGAGACCGGGAUAGAUGAGUUGCUUCGUCCGGUUGCAGACCGCUGACAUUAUCCCUAUGGAGCUCAUGCCAUUCCCUGAGGAAUGGAAUUACGCUCGUAAGUGGUGCAUCUCGUGCUAUAUCAGUUUUGUCUAUGGCGAAAGCCUUGUUUCGUUAUCGUGCCUUCUUUUCUUUUCCCGUAGCGGUUUCAUGGGCGCCGAGCGAUGUUCCCGAUUUGCCAAACUGGGUCUGAAGGUUGGAUACCUACUCGACUAGUGACGAGCGCAAGUGGCGAGCUGCACCCCGGGGUAGAUGGGAAGCAAAAUACCAUGGUGAGUACUGUGCUAUUCUUUCCUUUCCCUUCUUUCAUGUGGAGAAGCAUAUCCCCUUUACGUGUAUUAAUCUCACUGUUGUAGGCAUUGGAGAGCCUUUCAAGGCGAGGACGUUCUCCCUCGGAGAGGCGGAAGGGUUGCCAACUUUCGGGCUGAAGAACGAUAAUAAUGAACGAGAGGCGCUUUUGCAGGGUGACAACGCUCAAAGUAAAGCCAAGCGGGACCAAGGCUUCAGAGCGGAUGCAUCAUCCGAGCCUGUCGUGUCUGCAGCUCCCGGUUCUGGAAAGAGGGCUUCUUCGUUGUUGUCACCUUAUUUUCUCAUAGAUAGCAUUUUGGGAGAUACUAGAAACUCGAGGUCGCAUACACCAAGCGACCGUGCUUCGCCCAGAUAGGCUCUUUCAGGGCCGCAGGGACUGGAUUGGCAGGUGUGUGUUUGGUCUUCGAGGAAGCCCGUCGGCUUCACUUGGUGGUGAAUUUCGGCAUAGGUCUUUCGAGCUUUGCACCUUCCCUUUCUUAUUGAGUGUUCUUUUGCAGGCAUUCGACAAGCAUAAGUCCGGGCUGCUUCGUUGUGAUGCCAGGCUUCGGAAAGCUCUGGAUGAAGAGAGAUCCCUGAGGCUCCUUUGUGAUGAAAAAGAAGUCGAGUUAGUACAUUUGUAGUACGAGGUGAGCCAGAGCUUGAAUUACAAAAACCACCUGAAGGAGUAGGUAGUUUUCUAUCUCGUCUGAGUGUACACUCUGCCUCCUGGCUCCUGGGACUAAUACUUAGUUUAUUUCAGUUGCAGAAAAAGAUGGAGGCCCUAGAACGCCUUCAAGAUGAAGUUGACCGGGCCAGUCUUGAGCGUGAUGAAUUGAAAGCCCGGGCAGAGGCUAAGGCUUUAGGAGGGAAGGAUCCUCUGGCCAAAGUUCCUGCUUUUGAAUCUCAACUUCGCCUAGCUCACGACAAUGCUUUGGUUCAGACAGAAAUGAUUGCAAAGCUCGAGUUCGAGCUUUCGAAAGUUGGGGCUAAGAUCGUUGAUGCUCGGGUAGAAGCCGCAAUGAGCCGGACUAAGGCUGACCAGGAGAUGGAGAUCUACUCAAAGGAUGCCGCCGAUGCUCAAGCCGAGCUGAGAAGGAUCCUCGACCGCAAAGGUAGGAUUGAAGAAUAUGCUCAUUGCAAGUCUCGAAUAAAGACCCUCUAGGAGAUCCGUGAUAGAGGUUUCGCCCUCUCGGAAGAAUUGGCGCUAGCAAGGGCGAAUGAGUAUGAUGCUCGGUUGCUUUUGCCCGAUGCCGAGGAAAGCAAGGAUGAGACCGGCAGGUCGUAACCCCUAGGAGGGGGGGCGUAUAUUUUGCCAUAUGUAUGUUGCAUUUUCAAAGCAUAUUUGUAGCUGGAGGUUGCGUUUCUUGCAUGUAUGUGAAAAAAACCUAGCGACUUUACUCCUUUCGUAUCUUUUUUUGUCUUGAUUUUGACCAGGCGAUCUGGUUUUUGCAAUGGUAGGAAUCCUCAGAGUAUGGAUGUGGACCCGAGGCUCAUUGCACUGGCCCGUAGGCUCUUACAUACUUUCGCUCUUAGGCAUACCUAAGCCACCUAUUUUGGGCUCAGUCCCCGAUUCGGGCAUCGACUCGAGCUUAUAUUUCCUUUAAAUGGCCAAAUUUUAGGCUGGCGAUAGUGGCUCUUACGCUUUUGGUCGAUGCAACCUUUUAAUGCACGUGGGCUGGAGACAGUGGCUCUUAUGCCUUGGGCCGAUACGGUCUUUUAGUGUAAGCUGGCGAUAAUGGCUCUCACACUUUGGGUUGAAGCGACCUUUUAGUGUAAGCUAACGAUAAUGGCUCUUAUGGUUUUCCCUUAGGCAUAUAUAGUUAACUAUUUUGGGUCCAGACUUCAAAUCGGGUUACGACUCGAGCUCAUUUUGACCCUCAAGUUUUCAGAUUUCAGGCAGGCGACAGUGGCUUUUACGCGUUUGGUCGAAGCGACCUUUUGUGUGUGUGGCACUGAGGCUCAUUAGGCUGGCAACUAUAGCUCUUACGCUCUUGGUCGAUGCGACCUUUUAUGUAUGUGGCCCUGAGGCUCAUUAGUAUUUAUUUUCAUCUCGUUAAGGACUUUUGAAGUAAUUUUUGCCUGGCUCGUUGUCGGUUCGGAAAGAACCUCGAUUUUGAGCAACUUGCGGCGAUGUUCGAGCACCUCGGGAGGUUUGGCACGGAGGCUGAGUAGCUCAAAGCUCAUGAUUUAAAGCUGACAUGGUCGAAGCUCAUUUUCGUAUGCCGAGGGUAGCCUGUUUAACUGGUUCUUUCUGAAGUAAAUUCGGAGUAAUUUGAAGGCCUAUGUGGGCUGGCGACAAUGGCUCUUACGCCUCGUAGCGAUGGUCGGGCACCCCUGGGUUGUGUUAAUUCAGUUGGUACAGCCGUUUGACCAUAGUCACUUGCGUUUGGCUAGAGCCUUUGAUUCCCAAGUGAAAUAGUCUCGACAUCUAUAUCGAGGUUAUGCCUUUUUAGGGGUCUUACAAGUUCGAUAUAUAGCCGAAACUUUGAGAUCGAGUUUAUGCCUUUAGUAAGGUCUUACAAGUUUUUCACGUCGUUGAGGUCUUACAGGUUUUUUAUGCCAUUGAGCUUUUACAGUUUUUUCAUGUCGUUGAGGUCUUACAGUUUUUUCAUGCCAUUGAGGUCUUACAAAUUCUUCAUGCCAUUGAGGUCUUACAGGUUUUUCACUUGGUACAAGUGUGGUUCAUGCUUUGCUUGAGGUCUUACAGAUUUUUCAUGCCGUUGAGGUCUUACAGGGUUUUCACUUGGUACAAGUGUGGUUCAUGCCUUCCUUGAGGUCAUACAUAUUUUUCAUGCCGUUGAGGUCUUACAUGUUAUUCAUGUCGUUGAGGUCUUAUAGAUAUAGUUGUUGCCUUAAGUAGGUCUUACAAGACCGAGUCUGCCCGCUUGGGGUCUUAGGGACUCGGUUUUUGAUAAGUCGAUGAAGGUGGCGCUUGACGGCAGUCCUCGAGUAAUCGAGGGUUUCCUGACUCAGGAGCCAUUAUUCGCAACCUUUGUAUUUCCUUUUCGAAGGAUUACGAUUUUGGAGAUCCUGACCCUGAGGUCAUACGUUCUUGGAGAUAUCGGCGCCAGUCCCUGAGUGUCAGGCGCCUUUGGCCUUGGAGAUGUUUUGUGAUUGUUGCCUUACCUGAGAGCUUGUUAUUUUGGAGUCCCGACCCAGAGGUCAUUCGGGCGUUGAAUUGUUGACAUCAGUCCUCGAGUCUUGGGGACGUUUCCGGUAGAGAAAUCAUUUUCGCGGAGGUGCCAAGCUUCUUCUGGAGCGCGAUAUGCUUUGACAAAAGAUAUUUUUCAAUUAUUUGGUACAAGUGUACAUGUAUUCAUUGUCAGGGGCCGAGCUAUAUGGACAUGGUCCGUUCGACCGUUUGGCCCGGUACAUUAUUUUCCUAUAGGGACCCCAUUUGGCGUUUCUUGGCUUUUCCGAGCGGAUGGCCUUCAGGGGGGAGGGGGGAUGCCCCCCAGUGUUCGAGGUUGAUUGCGAAGGAAGCCUCGAACAUUUGUUGAGUCUCCCCUAGGUAGAAUGCAGAUGUUGCCUCGUUAAAAACCUUGCUGGUAAAACCCUUUUCGAGAUAAAAACUCGGUCGAAGGAAAAGAGUGUAGCAGAUACUUUGAAACCUUAAGGUCAUCAAGAUGGACUAACACUCUGACUGCUUCGUUCGGGCUCCUGCAUAAGGGUUAGUACGAAAUACGAAAUGAAAAGGGAUAUGGUUAUACCUUAGUGUAGGAUGUACCAGCGACAUUUCGAGGACCGAUGCAUCCUAGUUACUCGAGACGAGGAUGCGGUACGGUCCUUUACUUUGUUUGAUCGGGUUUGAUCGAAGGCGUGACUUGAUUACCCUUUAGCUCUUUUGCGGGUGGAGGUCCUGAUGCCGGUGCCACAUCGUGCACCGCGAACAUCUCCAUUGCUGCAUGUUGUUCCCCGUAGACGAUUUUGAUCCCAUCUGUCACACCUCCUUUUUACCGCCCCAAAAGGGGUAUAAGGGAGUAUUUCCAAUUUAAGUGACAAUCAAACCAGGAUUAUUUUAUCUACAAUUCAGAGUUGCCACUUGGGAUAAUUUAUGGUAUCCCAAGUCACCGGUUUAAAUCCCGAAUCGAGGAAAGGUUAACUCUGUUUACAGUCCACGAAUACAAAAAUCUGGGUAAGGAAUUCUGUUUACCCGGGAGAAAAUGUUAGGCAUUCCCGGAUUCCGUGGUUCUAGCAUGGUCGCUCAACUAUUAACAAUUUGCCUAAUUACAUGAUUAAUUACAUAUUUUAAACCUACAUGCAUUUUUAGCUUUAUAACCGCUUUUAAUUAUUUUAAACCGCUUUCAAGAUUUAUGGAAUUAUUUCUUGAACAAGUUACGAUUGUACACUUGCCGUUUUGGAACACAUGGAAAACUACGCUACAAUGCACCUGCGGUUCGCGUCAUGUUUAUUUUAUUAUUAUUCAAAAUUUUUAUGGCCAGUUCAUAUGAAAUGCACACCCGAAUUUGGAUUAGGUAUCAUGACAGUGCCACGGGAUCCAUACUCACAGUCACGAUAAUUAUUAUUAACGCGCCUAAAGCAAACUACGAAUAUUUAUUUGGUUAUUUUCCUACACUAAUUUGAGAUAAGUUAUGAGGUCAUGACUAUGGAAUUUAUUGUGGAAGGAAUGAAUUUAAUUUUUUAUGGAAAAGAUGUACUAACUUAUAGCCUUGUUGGCAUUUUGGGUCAGCUUCACAAAAAAAAUCCAAGAAAUCAAACAAAAACUUUUCUAUGACAAAUAACGUGCAACUAACAAGGCAAUGAGUAAUUAAAAUAGGAAAAAAUUCAUGUAUUUUAGAAUUCUGCUUCGGCCUUGAUAUACUGCACAGGUUUCUUUCCAGUUCUUUUAUUUAAAGAUACAAGCUAUUAUAGCCUUUGCGGCAGAAGAAAGUCAAUGAAUGAGAGAAAAAAAAUAAAAAAGAAAAACAACUAACAGCCACAGACCUAGAUAUCUUGGGAGUACAUGCUCAAUAGGGUUAUGGUGAAAAUCACAGCUUAUCAUUAGAGCAUAAUUCUAAACUAACACAACAAUUAAUAAAAGGACUAUCUAAGAUACAUUUUACAUGAAAAUAAUUAAAAAUAAAAUGGACCUUCAAAGCUUUGUACGGACAGAAACAAACAACAUUCUGAGGCAUAUAAUGAGCUAAUGUAUUUUAUAUUAUUUAGCAAGCUAAUAACAAAGAGCAAGAAAAAGUGAGAAAUGGCCAAGAAACAGACCUCUAUGAACUCAGAUAAUUUUGAAACGAAGCUCAAUAACGAAAUUCCGAGUUACAGAAACUCGCCGGAGACCUCGACGGACCAAACCUUGAAGACCUCGAAACCUCAAUACCCAGCUCCAAGCAGAGCUCACAAACGAGCUCCAAAAAUGGAUUCAAACUAGUGGAACUCCAGUAGCAAACUGGAAGGAAAACGCAAAAGGCAGUAGCAAAAGGCGGGUGGAAGGUAAGGCAAUGCUGACGAUGGAGGCGGAGAAAGGGAUGGUCUGCCGGCAUUCAUGGCUGUUGUUACUCCAAGCAUGAAGGAAACGUCCACUACUGAGAGUAAUCUUGUCUCUCCAAUCUAGCUUCACCCAUAAUAAAUUUUCUUAAAAAAUGAUGAACAGCAAAAAACAGAGCUGCCGAAAAAUCUAAAACCAACUGUUGGUGUCCAUAUCCAGCGAGCUAACACCAGCAAAGGCGAAGAUGAUAGUGGGGUUAAAACUGUAGCCAAGAAGAAAGACUUUUGUGGCUAUUUUUUUCGUUUUUUCUUUGGUUUUUUUUUUCCGUGUCCUUCGUGCCCCAGGUCCCUUUGUUUUUGUUUUUGUUGUGCAAACCCCCUUUCCCUGUUAUUCUUCGCCCCCCACCCCCCUGUUGCUCUCUCUCUAUUUCCCAGCUUUUUACUGUUUUUCCCCUCUUGCUACUCUCUGUAGGUGUCUUCCUUUUUCAGAGAGGUGAGAGUGCGCAUUUUAUAGGCAGGUAGUGAAUUGUUGGCCAAGAAAAAUAAAUGAGAUUAGGAUAAGAGUGUAAGGUCCCCACCCCUCUACCUGUUGGUUAUACACACAUAAAAAACAAUAGUGUGCAAGUGAGAUCACGUGGGGUGGUAAACAAAGAAAAAUAAGUAAUC